RNAcentral lists this ribosomal RNA (497 nucleotides) under uncultured bacterium. Its description in RNAcentral is "partial 16S ribosomal RNA". It matches the Rfam family "Bacterial small subunit ribosomal RNA", at positions 28 to 507 of the family's 1533-position model. The record is from RNAcentral.
GAUGAACGCUGGCGGCGUGCCUAAUACAUGCAAGUCGAGCGAACAGACGAGGAGCUUGCUCCUCUGACGUUAGCGGCGGACGGGUGAGUAACACGUGGAUAACCUACCUAUAAGACUGGGAUAACUUCGGGAAACCGGAGCUAAUACCGGAUAAUAUAUUGAACCGCAUGGUUCAAUAGUGAAAGACGGUUUUGCUGUCACUUAUAGAUGGAUCCGCGCCGCAUUAGCUAGUUGGUAAGGUAACGGCUUACCAAGGCAACGAUGCGUAGCCGACCUGAGAGGGUGAUCGGCCACACUGGAACUGAGACACGGUCCAGACUCCUACGGGAGGCAGCAGUAGGGAAUCUUCCGCAAUGGGCGAAAGCCUGACGGAGCAACGCCGCGUGAGUGAUGAAGGUCUUCGGAUCGUAAAACUCUGUUAUUAGGGAAGAACAAAUGUGUAAGUAACUAUGCACGUCUUGACGGUACCUAAUCAGAAAGCCACAGCUAACUACGUG